This 1478-nucleotide ribosomal RNA is filed under the name Mycoplasma sphenisci. Its description in RNAcentral is "16S ribosomal RNA". It matches the Rfam family "Bacterial small subunit ribosomal RNA". The record is from RNAcentral. Lineage: Bacteria; Bacillati; Mycoplasmatota; Mollicutes; Mycoplasmatales; Mycoplasmataceae.
AGAGUUUGAUCCUGGCUCAGGAUGAACGCUGGCUGUGUGCCUAAUACAUGCAUGUCGAACGCUGCUAGCAAUAGCAGAGUGGCAAAUGGGUGAGUAACACGUACUUAACGUACCUCUUAGAUUGGUAUAACGACCAGAAAUGGUCGCUAAUUCCAAAUACUUGUAUUUCUCGCAUGAGAGAUACAUAAAAGGAGCUUUCAAGCUUCACUAAGAGAUCGGGGUGCGCAACAUUAGUUAGUUGGUAGGGUAAUGGCCUACCAAGACGAUGAUGUUUAGCGGGGUUGAGAGACUGAACCGCCACACUGGGACUGAGAUACGGCCCAGACUCCUACGGGAGGCAGCAGUAGGGAAUAUUCCACAAUGAGCGAAAGCUUGAUGGAGCGACACAGCGUGCUUGAUGAAGGCCUUCGGGUUGUAAAGAGCUGUGGUAAGGGAAGAAAAAGUAGUAUAGGAAAUGAUAUUACCUUGACGGUACCUUACUAGAAAGCAACGGCUAACUAUGUGCCAGCAGCCGCGGUAAUACAUAGGUUGCAAGCGUUAUCCGGAAUUAUUGGGCGUAAAGCGUCUGUAGGUUGUGUGUUAAGUCUGGCGUUAAAUUUUGGGGCUCAACCCCAACACGCGUUGGAUACUGGCAUACUAGAGUUAUGUAGAGGUUAGCGGAAUUCCUUGUGAAGCGGUGAAAUGCGUAGAUAUAAGGAAGAACACCAAAAUGGCGAAGGCAGCUAACUGGACAUACACUGACACUGAGAGACGAAAGCGUGGGGAGCAAACAGGAUUAGAUACCCUGGUAGUCCACGCCGUAAACGAUGAUCAUUAGCUGAUGGGGGAACUUCGUCGGCGCAGCUAACGCAUUAAAUGAUCCGCCUGAGUAGUAUGCUCGCAAGAGUAAAACUUAAAGGAAUUGACGGGGACCCGCACAAGCGGUGGAGCAUGUGGUUUAAUUUGAAGAUACGCGUAGAACCUUACCCACUCUUGACAUCUUCCGCAAAGCUAUAGAGAUAUAGUGGAGGUUAACGGAAUGACAGAUGGUGCAUGGUUGUCGUCAGCUCGUGUCGUGAGAUGUUUGGUUAAGUCCUGCAACGAGCGCAACCCUUAUCCUUAGUUACUACAUUAAGUUGAGGACUCUAAGGAGACUGCCCGAGUAAUCGGGAGGAAGGUGGGGACGACGUCAAAUCAUCAUGCCUCUUACGAGUGGGGCAACACACGUGCUACAAUGGGCGAUACAAAGAGAUGCAAUAUGGUGACAUGGAGCAAACCUCAAAAAAUCGCUCUCAGUUCGGAUUGGAGUCUGCAACUCGACUCCAUGAAGUCGGAAUCGCUAGUAAUCGUAGAUCAGCUACGCUACGGUGAAUACGUUCUCGGGUCUUGUACACACCGCCCGUCACACCAUGGGAGCUGGUAAUACCCGAAGUCGGUUUAUAAACAAACUGCCUAAGGUAGGACUGGUGACUGGGGUGAAGUCGUAACAAGGUAACCGU